Molecule: long non-coding RNA, 523 nt
Filed under: Mustela putorius furo (domestic ferret)
Lineage: Eukaryota; Metazoa; Chordata; Mammalia; Carnivora; Mustelidae
Description: lncRNA (ENSMPUG00000031540.1)
Source: RNAcentral
GGAGGAAGCAGGCUCCCUGCCGAGCAGAGAGCCCGAUGUAGGGCUCGAUCCCAGGACCCUGGGAUCAUGACCUGAGCCCAAGGCAGAGGCUUUAACCCACUGAGCCACCCAGGCACCCCUGAAGUGUGUGUUCUAAACACAGCUCCCCAGUGGGGUUGAGCUCAAGCUUAACCAGGGGUGACCUGCUUGACAACAUACCAACAUAUAUGGCUGACACAAACAUCCAGGAGUAUGACUUUGUUUUGAAAAUCUGCUUUGAGGAUAUCUCACUAUAGAAGACAGAAUGCAUAGGAAAUGAAGGAAUACCUUUGAUAAACAUAAGCAUUAACAUUUUGCAUAAUAGAAAAUGCCAAAAAUGUUUCUUCCUAAUUAUAUUUUAACCAAAACAGGUACUCUGAAAAUAUAGUUUAUAAAUGAAACUCUGAACAAGUCGAUACUAUACAGAUGCCAGGACUCCGAAAUCUAUGAAUUCAAGAAUUCUCAUGCUCACUGAUGAAUCACUAAAUCUACCCUUGAAACUAAU